RNAcentral lists this ribosomal RNA (472 nucleotides) under uncultured bacterium. RNAcentral's name for it is "bacterial SSU rRNA". It matches the Rfam family "Bacterial small subunit ribosomal RNA", at positions 355 to 825 of the family's 1533-position model. The record is from RNAcentral.
UGGGGAAUAUUGGACAAUGGGGGCAACCCUGAUCCAGCGAUGCCGCGUGUGUGAAGAAGGCCUGCGGGUUGUAAAGCACUUUAGUUGGGGAGGAAAGGUAUGUACUGCAUAAGUGCAUGCUGUGACGUUACCCAAAGAAUAAGCACCGGCAAACUCUGUGCCAGCAGCCGCGGUAAUACAGAGGGUGCAAGCGUUAAUCGGAUUUACUGGGCGUAAAGGGCGCGUAGGCGGCAUGACAAGUCACUUGUGAAAUCUCUGGGCUUAACCCAGAACGGCCAAGUGAUACUGUCGCGCUAGAGUGCAGAAGGGGCAAUCGGAAUUCUUGGUGUAGCGGUGAAAUGCGUAGAUAUCAAGAGGAACACCUGAGGUGAAGACGGGUUGCUGGGCUGACACUGACGCUGAGGCGCGAAAGCCAGGGGAGCAAACGGGAUUAGAUACCCCGGUAGUCCCUGAGCGGGCUGGCAAGGCGCAU